GGGAACAGCACAAUUCCAGUCUCCCAGGGCCACAGAGAAUGGGCUCCACAUGCAAGCAGCUUCUCCAGAUUUAAUUUCCCCCUUCUAUAUGUCAUCAUUUUUGUCAAAUGACAAAGAAUGUUUUGAAAGAAAAGACCAUUCCUGUUGUCUCCCCGUAGACUGAUGCUUAGUAUUCCUUAGUGCUCUAGAUCAGAAAGUCAGCUCAGAUAUGUAAUGGGGGCAUGGAGCACUUUGAACAGGAAGAUUAGUGCUUGUGCCGGAUUGCCCGUUGGACAAGGAGAAAACAAUUUUCUAAAUUUCUUCCAAAUCCGUAAUCUGACUGCCCUUUGUUCCUGCUUGACUCAGCUGCUUCUCAGCUCUGGGGCCACCUUGCCUGAUUCUGACUGAAGCCAUGAAUAGAAGUCUGCUGAGCUUGGGGGGCGCAGGGGCCUGAGCAGGACUCCCGGACCCCUGGCCUCACCUGGUCUUGGAAUUGUGAGAAGUUGAGAGCCGUAUGUGUGUUUCAAGUGACCUCCUAAAAACCUCCAACAAAGGGAGCCUUUAUUGGGCUCCCAAAAAGCGAUCAAAUACAGUGACCCAGCUGGUUCUUGCUUGCCAAGCUCCUUCUCCAGGUCCUGGGGGACACUGACACGGUGCGAAUGUGGUAUAUAGAGAAAAACCAAGGAGUUCUGGAAGGAGGGAUGGUGAUUUUCUCCACCCUUAGAAUUCUCCUCUGCAGGACAAUUGUGUCUUAGGAAGAAAACUACUGUGGUCAGCACAGUGCCAUCCAUGACCAGUAGGAAGGCAAGGGGGUACCUGGUAGGAAGGCAAGGGGGUAUCUGGGCUGGGGAGAGAUGCUUCCCCUCCUUCAGCUGCUAAGAUGUCUUCGUGACCCCUCUGGGAUGCUUCCAGAGCUCACAUUUUAAAACACACAUAAAGCGUGUGUUGGCACGUUGCACACCGUAGAACCUGAGAUAUACCCUCUCCCCAGUUGCCAUUAAAAUAUCCCAAAACACGCCUACACCUGGAGGGACCCUCAUUCACUGUUUUAUUCAGGGUGGCAGAUGGAGAAGCAUGUCCCUUGAGACACACCAACUGCCCUCUUAUGCAGAAGAAGACAUCUUGCCUCAAGGAAGGCACGACAGCACUCUUGCCUCACCUGUCCAUCCCUAACUCUGGGACACAGGAGCUUCGCCAGACCUAAGCAGACCUCUCCCCACUCCCCAGAAACUGGCUUCUGAGGGGGAGAGGAUGGUGCCCUGCCCCCAUCAGGCCAUCUCUCCCCAUCAAUCAGAGAGGACUAGUGCUGAUGGACGCACAGCCAGGUCAUAGGUACAGGUGUACUGCAUCCUGGGAAAGGUGUUCUAGACAUGAGCACCCCAGCCACCUUCUCCCUCCCCACCCCAAAGUUCUAAUCAUCACUUCCAUUUUCUCCUCAGAGGGGCUGCUUUGGUGAAUGGAAAACCCUUUACUCUGUUGGGCACCCUUAAGGGUUCAGACAUGCAAGCUCAGACCUACAGAGAAGUACAUUCACCUGUUAAUGGGAUGGGAGUGGGGGAAGAAGCAGGGAUGCGGCAUGGGGGAGGGGCACUGGUGAUGUUUCUGAAGACUGUAUGUGGCUCAGUGUGAACCCCUCGUUGAAGCAGCCAAGUCUACAGAAGAGAGCAAGAAAUGUCUGGUGGGACUGGCUUGUCUGGGGAAAAUGGCUGUGAUUCACAUUGGUUAACAUGGGUGGCAUGAAUUCAAAGAGAAGUCUGAGGCCAGGGCACAGUGAGCAGGCCCUUUCCGGAAACUGGCGGCAAGACACAGGUGAGCUUGGGCUUCUGUAGAUCUGUGGCCUGGAGCACUGCUGAUGUGAUAAUGUGACCCCACGAGCUGCAGAUGACACAUGGCCCCCCUCCCAGGAUGGGCAGGAUGGGCGCAUCCAGAAGACACCCCCGGCACGGCAGCCUCGCUGGUGACAGGCCUGUCUUAACAGAGCUCCGUCACUUACAUGUUUUGAGAAGUGCUAAAUUGCAAUCAUGCAAAUAUGUUAUACAUCCCAUUUCUUAAUCCGUGUAACGGAAAGAAAUGCAAAUGAAUGCACCCGGCAGAUACUGUGACUGGAUCACGUCUUUUCUCAAUCGCCAGAGUCCUCUGCAGAUAGACAUCGAGACCCCAGGAAUGUCAUUACCUCAGGUCCCAACAUUCUCGCUAUACUAACUUGUACCGCAACUUGCUCAGCUGACCUCUGGGCCGCCAGGGCAAUGCGCCACCUGCCGCCUCUGACCGGCUCACAG
This 2258-nucleotide long non-coding RNA is filed under the name Equus asinus (donkey). RNAcentral describes it as "lncRNA (ENSEASG00005028047.1)". The record is from RNAcentral. Lineage: Eukaryota; Metazoa; Chordata; Mammalia; Perissodactyla; Equidae.